RNAcentral lists this ribosomal RNA (374 nucleotides) under uncultured bacterium. RNAcentral's name for it is "bacterial SSU rRNA". It matches the Rfam family "Bacterial small subunit ribosomal RNA", at positions 523 to 898 of the family's 1533-position model. The record is from RNAcentral.
AUACGGAGAGGGCAAGCGUUGUUCGGAUUUACUGGGCGUAAAGGGCAUGUAGGUGUUCUGAUAAGCUCUGAGUGAAAGCUCCGCGCUCAACGCGGAAAAGUCUUGGAGAACUAUCGGAAUUGAGUUCAGAAGAAGAGAGUGGAAUUCUCGGUGUAGCGGUGAAAUGCGUAGAUAUCGAGAAGAACACCAGCGGCGAAGGCGGCUCUCUAUUCUGAAACUGACACUCAAAUGCGAAAGCGUGGGGAGCGAACAGGAUUAGAUACCCUGGUAGUCCACGCUGUAAACGAUGUGCACUUGGUGUAUUCCUUAUAAAGGGGUGUGCCGGAGCUAACGCGUUAAGUGCACCGCCUGGGGAGUACGGCCGCAAGGCUAAA